This 700-nucleotide ribosomal RNA is filed under the name uncultured bacterium. Its description in RNAcentral is "bacterial SSU rRNA". The stretch from base 1 to 422 matches the Rfam family "Bacterial small subunit ribosomal RNA", at positions 1113 to 1533 of the family's 1533-position model. The record is from RNAcentral.
AGUUGCCAGCGGGUAGUGCCGGGAACUCCAAGGAGACUGCCGGUGACAAACCGGAGGAAAGGUGGGGAUGACGUCAAGUCAUCAUGGCCCUUAUGGGCAGGGCUACACACGUGCUACAAUGGCCGGUACAAAGGGUUGCCAACCCGCGAGGGGGAGCUAAUCCCAAAAAACCGGUCGUAGUCCGGAUCGGAGUCUGCAACUCGACUCCGUGAAGUUGGAAUCGCUAGUAAUCGCGAAUCAGCACGUCGCGGUGAAUACGUUCCCGAGCCUUGUACACACCGCCCGUCACACCAUGGGAGUGGGCUGUACCAGAAGUAGGUAGCCUAACCUUCGGGAGGGCGCUUACCACGGUAUGGCUCAUGACUGGGGUGAAGUCGUAACAAGGUAGCCGUAGGGGAACCUGCGGCUGGAUCACCUCCUUUCAAAGUGAAAGUGAAGAUUCUGUGUCGACAGGCGCCCACACAAAUUGUUUGAUUGAGAGGGCCCGUUAACUUGGGUCUGUAGCUCAGGCGGUUAGAGCGCACCCCUGAUAAGGGUGAGGUCGGUGGUUCGAGUCCACCCAGACCCACCACAAGCGGUGCGGUAAACCCCAAACGAUACAGCGAGAUGGAAAAAGCGACGCUGGGGCCAUAGCUCAGCCGGGAGAGCACCUGCUUUGCAAGCAGGGGGUCGGCGGUUCGAUCCCGCCUGGCUCCACCAC